GGGUCAGUAGGUUGGUCGUGCCACCGGUACGUACUGGUCUCACUGAUUCCUCCUUCCUGAAGAACCGUAAUGCCAUUAAUUUGGUGUUGCGGGGAAACAGGACUGUUACUUUGAAAAAAUUAGAGUGUUUAAAGCAAGAUAACGCUUGAAUACAUUAGCAUGGAAUAAUGGAAUAGGACGAUCGAUCCAAUUUUGUUGGUUUCUAGGAUUGACGUA
Molecule: ribosomal RNA, 216 nt
Filed under: Glomeromycotina sp.
Lineage: Eukaryota; Fungi; Glomeromycota
Description: partial small subunit ribosomal RNA
Rfam family: Eukaryotic small subunit ribosomal RNA (bases 40-216)
Source: RNAcentral